AUGCUGCCGCUCGCCCGCCGCCUGGCGCGCUACGGUCCGGGCGCCCGCCGCCUGCUCCACACGGGCCCGCCGGCGGACCCGGGCGUGCUGGCGAGCCGCCUGGCGUCGCGCGCCGUGGUCCGCUUCCGGGGCCCCGAGGCGGCGCGCUUCCUCAACUCGCUCCUCACCAACGACGUCCUCCUCUCCCACGCCUCGUCGUCCCAGCCGCAGAGGUACGCGCCCACGCCCAACCUGCCCGCGCGGGCGCCGCCGCCGCAGUACGCCGCGCUGCUCACGCCGCAGGGCCGGUUCCUCUACGACCUCUUCCUCUACCGCCCCGCCCCGCGCUCCCAGAUGCUCGACCGCACCGGGGCCGCGCCCCAGACCGGGGAGCGGCCCGGCGGGGAGGAUGGGGAGGGUGAUGGCGGGGAGGUGCUCGCGGAUGUGGACGCCGCCGAGGUCGACGAGCUGCUCGCCUGCUUCAAGAGAUAUCGGCUGCGGAGCAAGGUUGAGAUAGAUAAUGUAAGUGAGGAGUUUUUGUGCUGGCAAAGAUUUGGAAACGAUGUGGCACAUGCUGGACCUUCCACUCAAGAACCCGAGGCUCAAUCCAUUGGAUGGGGACAAGGUAGUGACCAUGCUGCUGAGUCAUCUGCACAAGGGAACGGUCAUGGUUGGCAGUGGCUCAAAGAUCCUCGGCUUGACAUUCUUGGCUACAGAGGAAUAUUUCCAGCUGAUACAAUACCACCACUUGUUGAGGCUGACAAAGAAGCAGAUGAACGCCAUUAUUUGCUUUGGCGUAUAGAAAAUGGGGUUGCAGAAGGCUCAACUGAAAUACCAAAAGGUGAAGCAAUUCCGCUCGAGUACAAUCUUGCAGGCCUGAAUGCUAUUUCAUUUGACAAGGGGUGCUAUAUUGGUCAGGAGCUGAUCGCGCGCACACACCACCGUGGUGUCAUCAGGAAGCGCCUGAUACCCUUGAAGUUUGUAGAUGAAAAUGACAAAGAACUCGAGCAGGCUGUUGCUCCUGGCUCAGAUGUCGUGGACGACGCCUCUGGAAAGAAAGUGGGUACGGUAAGCACCGCUCUCGGCAGCCGUGGGAUGGGUCUGUUGCGGCUCGAAGCAACACUGAAGGAAAACGCUGUCCUUGCCAUCAGCGACAACAGAGAUGUGAGGGUCAAGGCGAUUAAGCCAGACUGGUGGCCAGCUGAGUGGACAGAGGUCUUAGGACAGCAGAGCGCAGUCGCUUGA
RNAcentral lists this ribosomal RNA (1224 nucleotides) under Triticum aestivum (bread wheat). Its description in RNAcentral is "partial small subunit ribosomal RNA". The record is from RNAcentral. Lineage: Eukaryota; Viridiplantae; Streptophyta; Magnoliopsida; Poales; Poaceae.